RNAcentral lists this ribosomal RNA (476 nucleotides) under Lutjanus monostigma (onespot snapper). RNAcentral's name for it is "partial small subunit ribosomal RNA". It matches the Rfam family "Bacterial small subunit ribosomal RNA", at positions 788 to 1491 of the family's 1533-position model. Lineage: Eukaryota; Metazoa; Chordata; Actinopteri; Lutjaniformes; Lutjanidae. The record is from RNAcentral.
CACUAUGCCUAGCCAUAAACAUUGAUAGUAAACUACACCCACUAUCCGCCCGGGGACUACGAGCACCAGCUUGAAACCCAAAGGACUUGGCGGUGCUUUAGAUCCACCUAGAGGAGCCUGUUCUAGAACCGAUUACCCCCGUUCAACCUCACCUUUCCUUGUUUCUCCCGCCUAUAUACCACCGUCGUCAGCUUACCCUGUGAAGGACUCAUAGUAAGCAAGAUUGGCACAGCCCAAAACGUCAGGUCGAGGUGUAGCGUAUGGAAAGGGAAGAAAUGGGCUACAUUCACUACCAUAGUGUAAUACGAACGAUGCACUGAAAUACGUAUCUGAAGGAGGAUUUAGCAGUAAGCAGAAAAUAGAGCGUUCCGCUGAAACUGGCCCUGAAGCGCGCACACACCGCCCGUCACUCUCCCCAAGCUUACUAACUCUAAGUACCUAAGACCCUAAAACUGCAAAGGGGAGGCAAGUCGUAA